Molecule: ribosomal RNA, 383 nt
Filed under: uncultured eukaryote
Lineage: Eukaryota
Description: partial 18S ribosomal RNA
Rfam family: Eukaryotic small subunit ribosomal RNA
Source: RNAcentral
CAAUAGCGUAUAUUAAAGUUGUUGCAGUUAAAAAGCUCGUAGUUGGAUUUCUGGUGGGAGCGAUCGGUCUGGCGCUUAGCGCGAGUACUUGCAUCGUCUCCGGCCAUCCUUGGGGAGAGUCUGUCUGGCAUUAAGUUGUCGGGCAGAGGAUCCUCAUCGUUUACUGUGAAAAAAUUAGAAUGUUCAAAGCAGGCUUAUGCCGUUGAAUAUAUUAGCAUGGAAUAAUAAGAUAGGACUUUGGUACUAUUUUGUUGGUUUGCGCACCAAAGUAAUGAUUAAUAGGGACAGUUGGGGGUAUUCGUAUUCCGUUGUCAGAGGUGAAAUUCUUGGAUUUACGGAAGACGAACUACUGCGAAAGCAUUUACCAAGGAUGUUUUCAUUAA